RNAcentral lists this ribosomal RNA (442 nucleotides) under uncultured bacterium. Its description in RNAcentral is "partial 16S ribosomal RNA". It matches the Rfam family "Bacterial small subunit ribosomal RNA", at positions 338 to 795 of the family's 1533-position model. The record is from RNAcentral.
CCUACGGGUGGCAGCAGUGGGGAAUAUUGGGCAAUGGGCGCAAGCCUGACCCAGCAACGCCGCGUGAAGGAAGAAGGCUUUCGGGUUGUAAACUUCCUUUAAGAGGGAAGAGAAGAAGACGGUACCUCUUGAAUAAGCCACGGCUAACUACGUGCCAGCAGCCGAGGUAAUACGUAGGGGGCAGGCGUUGUCCGGAUUUCCUGGGUGAAAAGGGCGUGUAGCCGGGCUGACAAGUCAGAUGUGAACUCCGGGGGCUCAAACCCCGAACUGCAAUUGAAACUGUUGGUCUUGAGUAUCGGAGAGGCAGGCGGAAUUCCUAGUGUAGCGGUGAAAUGCUUAGAUAUUAGGUAGAACACCAGUGGCGAAGGCGGCCUGCCGGACGACAACUGACGGUGAGGCGCGAGAGCGUGGGGAGCAAACAGGAUUAGAUACCCGAGUAGUC